Rattus norvegicus (Norway rat) is the source of this 2484-nucleotide non-coding RNA. The record is from RefSeq and is a predicted model, not a curated record. NCBI's taxonomy places the organism in Eukaryota, Metazoa, Chordata, Mammalia, Rodentia, Muridae.
ACCGGGAAAGGGGAUAACAUUUAAAAUGUUAAAAAACAAAUCCAAUAAAAGGAAAAAAAUAAUUUAUUUCUCUGAGAAGAGGAAAGUAUUUUUCCCAUAAUAUAUACCUUUUUCUAUCAACAGAGUAAAUGACCUCAUCACAUCAGGCAUUCCUUUCUGUCCAAUAGAAGGUGGACAGAGUUUUACAGAAAACAAUUUUAGAACAAAGGGGAAAGUAAUUAAACAACUUUCAUUUUGGACAAGCAGACGUUGGAAUUCAGUGAGUGGGAGAGCAGUGUGCCCCUGUGAACUGGCUGUGCAGAGAGGACACAAAGUGGAGAGGGAAUGUACGUAUGUUUCUGAGAGAGCUGUCUUCUGUGGUCAUCGCCACCAUCCCCCCAUGGACCUUGACUUUUGCCCUUUGAAUAAUGUUAAAAUUAAAACAAAUCUUAGACAUCUUGUGGUUUAGUAACUGUCAGUUUCUUUCUUUUUUGUUUUUAUUCCUUUUUUUUUUUUUUUUUUUUUGUCUCCCUUCCUUCUGGAAGGCUCUCCUUCCUUCCUUCCUUUAUAUUUUUUUGUAACAGGAUCUUGCUUUGUAGCCCAAGCUGGCCCUGAACUCAAAAGAAUCUUCCUGCAUCAACUCCACCAUUACAGGGAUUAUAAUGUGCUCUAGUGUUCCAAAGGAAGUGGAUUUCAUUUAGAUUGUCAAUUCAAAUCUGUUACACAGUGGCUCCUCGACACGCUUUAUUGAGUGUUCAGAAGCAGUUAUCCAAUGUUCCUUUCGUGAAGCUCCCUUAACCCCACUACCUCUGUGUUCAAGAUCAAUCCAGAAUGUCACACAAACCAGGCAAUCAUUGUACCACACAGCACUCAACUUCCUAGCUUCUCAAUUUGGUAUAAAAGAUCAGUGGUUGAUUAUUAAUGUUUGAAAUGGCACAAAAAUUACAGGAUAUAUUCUAGGUUAUUUUUUCUGGUCAACCUUUGACUUUUAUCUUUGAGGAGACUGAGGGUUCAGCUGGUUACUAGUGAUCACCCACCUGCUAUGGACAGAAUCAGAAAAAGGAUGACAUUUCUCAACCCUUGGUCUUCUGUUUAUCCCACACAAACAAAUUGAGUUCCCCUUUGAAGGCCAUACUUCAUUGAGCCAUACUGAACCAUACUCAGUUCAGUAUGUAAAUAUUAGUUACAUAUUAAAUUUUGGAUUUUGAAAGGGAUUGAUCUAACCUAGUUUAUUGAGGAUACGUUAUUGUAUUUAUUUUUUUAUAAAUAUUCCUUACAAAUCGGGGAGAUGUAAUUGGGUCUAAUAUAAAUCCGACCAUGGCAGUCUUUUUUUAAGUAACUGUCUGAAAGUUCAGGAACAAUUGAUCCUGAAAUGGUUGGUUUCAAAGCCUAGGCUUAGUCCACGGGAGGUCAGGGCUCUGGAGUCUCUUGGCGCACAGUGUAUUUGUAUUUACUGAGCUCACGCCUAGCAGAGUUCCCUGAAGAUUCCACUUUUCCACAUUCUGUUUAAUUGGUUCCCCAAGGACGGAAUGACAAUGUGUUUUUCACCAGAGAAAGCACGCAAACAAAUACAAGAAGAGGGUUUCCACAUGGAAGACCUCUGAAGCGGAGGGCAGAGAGAAAGUCAACGUCAGGUCUUCAUUUUUCUCCUCACGAAGCAGUCUAAGGACAAAGUAUAACAUAUGCUGACAAGACCAUAAGCUGCCGCUGCCCUUGCAAUUGUUCCAAUAAUUAAAUUCCUCUAGUUGCACGCUUCUCGAGGCCGUCAGGUGACCUUUAAUAGCGGCCUGGAAUGGUUCCUUCCUCCGGGGAGGUUCAGGUCACACUGUCCUAAUGAAAGAUGGGAAAUGCCUGUCUGUGGAGUUCAUAAACUAAAAAGUUUGUGUUCGAGAUGUAAUAAUUCACUUGCAACUGGAUAUGAGGACAGGAGGUUUUCUCUUCUAGCCUACAUUGUAUGUUUGCGAUGUAUGCUGACAGUUUCUUAGAAUAUUUUAAAAAACUUUAAGGAUUCUUUUCCUUUAAUAACAUACUGGACCUGCCAGACAGUAGUGGCACAUGACUUUAGUCCCAGCACUUGGGAGGCAGAGGCAGGAGGAUCUCUGAGUUUGAGGCCAGCCUGGUCUACAGAGUGAGUUCCAGGACAGUCAGGGCUAUGCAGACAAACCCUGUUUUGCAAAAACUAAGAAAACAAAACAAAACAAAAACCAAAAACAUAUUGGACCUGUAGACUUAUGAAUAGUAGUAACAACGUAAAAACUAAAGCCAAUAUUUAGUGGUUACCGUGGGUCAUGUGCUUUAUACAAAUUAGUUCAUUUUGAGCCUCUGAGAAAAAAAGCAAAAAGACAUAGGUAGGUUAUUAUCCCUUUAACAACCUAGGAAGGGUAGGUGAGAUGGCUCAGUGGGGAAAAGUGCUUGCUGCUAACCGUGGCAACCUGAGUUCAAUCCCCAGGACCCAUGCCUGGGAAGGAAAAAAUUGACUCCUGGAAGUUGUCCUUUUUUUUUAAA